RNAcentral lists this long non-coding RNA (942 nucleotides) under Cercocebus atys (sooty mangabey). RNAcentral's name for it is "lncRNA (ENSCATG00000045915.1)". The record is from RNAcentral. Lineage: Eukaryota; Metazoa; Chordata; Mammalia; Primates; Cercopithecidae.
GGCCAGGCGGGCCACAGUGGCUGCUGCAGGCGCCACCCUUAAAGGGAAAGCCUGCUUUCCCAGCCAGCUCCCGGGGAACUGGGGAAGGGCGACUACCCUCAGCAGGGCAGGCCUUACCCUCGGGGGUGAAGUAGGAAGACCCCCCCACCUGGGGUGGCUUGAUGUGUGCCCCAAAAUGUGCCUGGAGCUUCAGUGAGAGCUGCUCUGCGCUUGGUGGCUGACCCUGGGCGGGAGGAUGUCGCUGCUCCUGCUGCUCCAAGGAGCUCAUGGUCUGAUUGGAGGAGACAGACCUCCGAUGAGUAAACCACCAAGCUGGACAGUGAUAACUCCCAGAAAAAGCGGACCCAGCCUCAUGGAGCGUCGUGACAAGGCAGGCGAGUGGGUGACUGGCACAGGCACUGCGCAGGGAUUCACAGCUGGCUGCCCAGUGACUCCACAGCCUGCUGCACUCCGGAGGGACCCUGGGUCUGCGGAGACACCAGGCUGAGAUUUCUCUGGCUGUGCCAUCUUCAGGGAGGCGGUGCCCAGGGGAGUGUGGCAGGAAACACCAGGCCCGGGGCUGCACCUCCUGAGCACUGUAGCUCCUAAACCCACCCGCUGAAGCUCCACAAAUAACCCCAAAGAGGAACGGAGAUCAAUGCACUGCCCUAUUGACAAAACCUCAGCCGUAAUGCAGAUAGCUCUCACGUUUUUAUUGUGUUCAUGUAUGUUGAUUCAUAGCGGUUUUGUCAAUAAAAAACACCACACAAAGUCUCACAGUAAAAACGUCACCAAAAAUUAUUUAUUGCUAUGAUAACAGCAAAUUAUAUAUUGAAGGAAAUUUGUGGCGUUGGGUGGGACAGAGGCUGGUGGCAUCGUUGGCGGAGAAAGGGCCCCUGUAAGCCUGCACUGUGGCCCCACCAUCACCUGAGUACACCCUCUGCCCAGCCCCAAUGCAGGGCC